GGUAAAUCUCGUGCCAGCCACCGCGGUCAUACGAUUGACCCAAGCUAACAGGAGUACGGCGUAAAGCGUGUUAAAGCAUCAUACUAAAUAGAGUUAAAUUUUAAUUAAACUGUAAAAAGCCAUAAUUAUAACAAAAAUAAAUGACGAAAGUAACCCUACAAUAGCUGAUACACCAUAGCUAAGACCCAAACUGGGAUUAGAUACCCCACUAUGCUUAGCCCUAAACACAAAUAAUUAUAAAAACAAAAUUAUUCGCCAGAGUACUACCGCAACAGCCCGAAACUCAAAGGACUUGGCGGUGCUUUAUACCCUUCUAGAGGAGCCUGUUCUAUAAUCGAUAAACCCCGAUAAACCUCACCAAUCCUUGCUAAUACAGUCUAUAUACCGCCAUCUUCAGCAAACCCUAAAAAAGGGACAAAAGUAAGCUCAAUAAUAACACAUAAAGACGUUAGGUCAAGGUGUAACCUAUGGAGUGGGAAGAAAUGGGCUACAUUUUCUACCCAAGAAAAUUUAAUACGAAAGCCAUUAUGAAAUUAAUAGCCAAAGGAGGAUUUAGCAGUAAACUAAGAAUAGAGUGCUUAGUUGAAUCAGGCCAUGAAGCACGCACACACCGCCCGUCACCCUCCUCAAGUAAAUAUGAUAUACUUAAACCUAUUUACAUAUAUCAACCACACGAGAGGAGACAAGUCGUAACAAGGUAAGCAUACUGGA
RNAcentral lists this ribosomal RNA (711 nucleotides) under Ovis aries (sheep). RNAcentral describes it as "12S ribosomal RNA". It matches the Rfam family "Bacterial small subunit ribosomal RNA", at positions 495 to 1509 of the family's 1533-position model. The record is from RNAcentral. Lineage: Eukaryota; Metazoa; Chordata; Mammalia; Artiodactyla; Bovidae.